UUAGAGUUUGAUCCUGGCUCAGAUUGAACGCUGGCGGCAUGCCUUACACAUGCAAGUCGAACGGUAACAGGUCUUCGGACGCUGACGAGUGGCGAACGGGUGAGUAAUACAUCGGAACGUGCCCAGUCGUGGGGGAUAACUACUCGAAAGAGUAGCUAAUACCGCAUACGAUCUGAGGAUGAAAGCGGGGGACCUUCGGGCCUCGCGCGAUUGGAGCGGCCGAUGGCAGAUUAGGUAGUUGGUGGGAUAAAAGCUUACCAAGCCGACGAUCUGUAGCUGGUCUGAGAGGACGACCAGCCACACUGGGACUGAGACACGGCCCAGACUCCUACGGGAGGCAGCAGUGGGGAAUUUUGGACAAUGGGCGAAAGCCUGAUCCAGCAAUGCCGCGUGCAGGAUGAAGGCCUUCGGGUUGUAAACUGCUUUUGUACGGAACGAAAAAGCUCCUUCUAAUACAGGGGGCCCAUGACGGUACCGUAAAAAUAACACCGGCUAAACUACGUGCCACCACCCGCGGAAUACGUAGGGUGCGACGUUAUCGAAUUAUUG
RNAcentral lists this ribosomal RNA (549 nucleotides) under uncultured bacterium. RNAcentral's name for it is "bacterial SSU rRNA". It matches the Rfam family "Bacterial small subunit ribosomal RNA", at positions 1 to 556 of the family's 1533-position model. The record is from RNAcentral.